Microplitis demolitor is the source of this 937-nucleotide long non-coding RNA. RefSeq lists it as uncharacterized. The record is from RefSeq and is a predicted model, not a curated record. NCBI's taxonomy places the organism in Eukaryota, Metazoa, Arthropoda, Insecta, Hymenoptera, Braconidae. The transcript has 3 exons.
CAUAAAAUCUUACUUAGAAGUCAGAGGAGACUAGAGUUUAAAUCAAGAAAUGUAUAAGAUGUAAGACGAGUAGAAAAAAAUAUAUAUACUUUGGAGGAAGGAUAAGGAUAAUCCGAAAAUAAAAGAAAGCAAUGUUGGUCCUGGAAAAGUAAAAGAGUGUAGAAAGCAUCAGUGUAUCCGUAAUGGCAUCCAGAGGCUUUUAUACUAGUAAACACAAAAUCCAUAUAUAUAUACGGUCUAUUCCAUUAUUCUACAAUCAUAUAUAUAUGGUGCUUGGUUACUUAAAUUAUACUCCAGAAAACUGGAUCCUCAUCGAUGAAAUUAAAGCUGAAUUCAACAUGGUCGCAGUUAACAGUGGACGUAGUAUGCCACAUGGAAGCCAAACAGAUGAUUUCCCCGGAUACUUUAAACUCACUCCGAUACACAACCGUCAGCAGACUCAACAUCCAGCCGGCUACACACACUAAUAUAAAUAAGACGCGACCAAUAAACCACCACCUCAACUGACUUUUGAAAUAUCUAAAUAUUAUUUUUAUUAAAUAAUAUAUUUUAUUUAUUUAUCAAUUUUUUAUAAAUCUAUGGAUAUUUUUUUAUUUAUAUACAACAAGGGAAAAUUCUAAUACAAAAUAUCUGGAAAACGGUUGACUCUGCAGGACUCUGGAAAACGUUAUCGCGUGCCAAAAAGUAAAAGGGCGUAUACCAAUGUAUGCGCCCUUUUACCUUUGCAAAGGUAAAAGGGCGCAUAAAUUUUUUUUUCAUCGCCAAUUAAUUAGUAAACAUUUUCUACGCUUGAAAAUCACAUAUUGUUUUCCCAAAGGUAAAAGGGUGUAUGUCUUUAAUUAUGCGCCCUUUUAGCUUUAGGAAUUUGAAAAUUUUGUGACCAAAAGGUAAAAGGGCGUAUAAAUUUUUUUUCUAAAAAAUUUAUUAAAAAGCUUAG